AUUUUCGGAACCGGCAAACUCAGGGCUCACCCUAUCAAACGGUCAAAAGUCAAAACCUCCCUCCAAAAUCCAAAAAUCCUAAUCAGAAAAGGUUCAAUCCCCUCCAAAUCAUAAACCCUAGCAAUCUCUCCAAACUCAAUUUCAAGUAAAUUUCAACGAAACAAAGCUUUUAGUAACCAGAAACCCUAAAUUGAAUCGUCCCGGAAAGGCUCGCGAAGAUGGGGAAGAAACAGCACAGCAAAGAUCGGAUGUUCAUAACGAAGACAGAGUGGGCCACCGAGUGGGGCGGCUCUAAAUCCAAAGAAAACGGCACCCCUUUCAAACGGCUCCCCUUCUAUUGCUGCGCUCUUACAUUUACGCCGUUUGAGGCGCCGGUUUGCACGAAGGAUGGCAGUAUCUUCGAAAUAAUGAAUAUAAUUCCUUAUAUUAGGAAGUACGGGAAGAACCCGGUAACCGGGGCUCCAUUGAAGCAAGAGGAACUUAUCCCUCUUACUUUCCACAAGAAUUCUGAAGGAGAGUAUCAUUGCCCUGUGCUGAACAAAGAUUUUACUGAGUACACACACAUAGUUGCUGUGAAGACUACGGGAAAUGUGUUCUGUUAUGAGGCAAUUAAAGAAUUAAACAUCAAGACCAAAAACUGGAAAGAGCUUCUUACAGAUGAGCCUUUCGCUAAGGAAGAUAUUAUUACAAUUCAGAAUCCUAACGCACUUGACAGCAAGGUUACCCUGGAUUUUGAUCAUGUCAAAAAUUGUUUGAAGGUUGAUGAUGAAGAACUAAAGAAAAUGAGUUCAGAUCCAACUUAUAACAUCAAUGUCGCUGGGGACGUCAAGCAGAUGCUGGCAGAGCUUGGAACUGAGAAAGCAAGGGAAACUGCUAUGCUUGGUGGGGGUGGCAGCAAGGCUCAAAAUGAGAGGGCUGCUGCUCUUGCUGCCAUUUUAGCUGCACGGUCUCGCAUCAAAGAGGAUUCAAAGUUAGAUGCAAAUGGGGAGAGUAAAACUCAACCUGCGUAUAGUAUUGUAGAUGCUGCAUCUGCUUCAGUACAUGGAAGAAGUGCUGCUGCAGCAAAAGCCGCAUCAAGUGAUAAAACUGCUGCCCGGAUUGCUAUGCAUAUGGCAGGAGAGAGGGCACCUGUGAAUGCUAAGCUGGUGAAGAGCCGUUUUACUACUGGUGCUGCUUCACGAUCCUUUACAUCUACCUCUUAUGACCCUGUCACCAAAAAUGAAUUUGAAUAUGUUCAAGUUGAGAAAAAUCCCAAAAAGAAAGGUUACGUUCAGUUGCAUACGACACAUGGUGAUUUGAACAUUGAGCUGCACUGUGAUAUAACUCCAAGGACAUGUGAGAACUUCAUCACUCUUUGUGAACGUGGUUAUUACAAUGGAGUGGCCUUCCAUAGAAACAUUCGGAAUUUUAUGAUUCAAGGUGGUGAUCCAACUGGUACUGGGAGAGGAGGUGAAUCAAUAUGGGGAAAGCCUUUUAAAGAUGAAGUGAACUCUAAGUUGCUUCACUCAGGAAGAGGUGUAGUUAGUAUGGCAAACAGUGGCCCCCACACAAAUGGUUCCCAGUUUUUCAUCCUAUACAAGUCUGCAAAUCAUUUAAACUUCAAACAUACGGUUUUUGGUGGAGUUGUUGGUGGCUUGACCACACUAUCAGCUAUGGAGAAGGUUCCUGUUGAUGACAAUGACCGACCUCUGGAGGAGAUUAAAAUAAUUAGUGUCACGGUAUUUAUCAAUCCAUACAUGGAGCCUGACGAAGAAGAGGAAGAGAAGGGCAGAGGUGAAAAGAAAGUUGAGGAUGAAGAAAAUGAUAAGGUUGGGUCUUGGUAUAGCAAUCCAGGUACAGGAACAGCAGAAUCUGGAGCUGUGGGUGGGGGUGGUGUUGGAAAGUACUUAAAAGCAAGGAAUACUCCAAGUGAGUCUGCUACUGUGGAUACCCGUCUAGCAGCAAUUUCUGUAACAAAGAAAAGAAAAGUCACGGCAGGAGAAUUUAAAGAUUUUUCUGCUUGGUGAGAUUUUCCUAAUGCUGCUCUGCAAAAUGAUACGAAAUGUGCUGUGGAGCUUGGAAGCAAGGAAUGCUUAACUUUGAACUUGCCAUUUAUUAAUGAUCUGGAAAAAUCACUUUAACAAAGAAUACGGGAGUGAAGGGUUCAAGGGGCACUGGGCAGAUUCAAAUUCUUUUCUACUUGGUAAAUCACUUUUAACUGGUUCUGCGAGUAUCAGAUGUCAGCUUUUCAUAUUACAGUCCAUUCUGCUGUACUAUAGAAUGAUGGUGUCUGAACUUGUGGAAUGAGUUGAAACCAUUGUUGAACUCCACACCAAUAGGUCAGGAUUGAGGUCCCUUUGUAUCCUUUUAUUAGGUAAGCUCAUAGUAUGCUUACAUGAAUUUUUAGUCCUUUUACAUGAAAACAUGAUUAAUAGGCAAGUAUGCGCUGCGCUCAAGGUCCUCCCCUAGUUUUCCCUCGAAGCUGUAAAUCACAUUCCUAUUGUGGAGUUGUGACCGUUGAACUAUGCAGUUGACUAUAUGCUUUCGUUAUUUGCCUUCCACAUUGAGCUUAUUUUCAAUAUUAAAACUGUGAGUCCAUAUGCCAUUGAUUAGCGGCAUGCCCCACAUUAAAGCUAUUGCCUGUUUUCUCAGGGCUGACCGGCACAGCGGGGAUUAUGGUGCUAAGUUAGCAUUUCUAGAAUGUGGACAUGGUGCUGCUAUCGUACGACAAAACACAAUAGAAAGACAGUGGGAAAUAGAACAUCGUAAAAUCUAUCUGAGCUCUGAGGUUUGUGCAUUUUAAUAGAGAACAGAGAAAGAAAUCCUGGGCUAAGUCCAUUUGACACUCAUUUUGUCAGACACCUUACUAUUGCAUUUCUAAAGAACUUCUUAUGUUCUUUCCACUGUGCUAUCCACUAAAAAAUCUUUGCUCACUGCUGUGCAUCAAGGACAAGAGAAGACAAUAUGAUUAUAUGGCAGCUGGAUAAAAGCCAUCACACAUUGGUGGCCCACCAGCUGUGGAAUUCUCGACCAAACAGGUCAGUUUGAUCAUUUAGUGCGAACAGAGUUUUGGAUGUUUCCAGUUGACGUUUUCUUCCCCGUAUUAGUGACCCCCUGUACAAAGCAAAAACACUUCUGAGAAUGAAUGGCUUUUCUAACUCGUAGAGCAGCUAGAAGUAGCCAUUUCUGGACCACUUCUAUUUGUGA
This is a non-coding RNA of Theobroma cacao (cacao), 3186 nucleotides long. The record is from RefSeq and is a predicted model, not a curated record. NCBI's taxonomy places the organism in Eukaryota, Viridiplantae, Streptophyta, Magnoliopsida, Malvales, Malvaceae.